RNAcentral lists this ribosomal RNA (270 nucleotides) under Triticum aestivum (bread wheat). Its description in RNAcentral is "partial small subunit ribosomal RNA". Lineage: Eukaryota; Viridiplantae; Streptophyta; Magnoliopsida; Poales; Poaceae. The record is from RNAcentral.
AUGGCAUCCUUAGCCCGCGCCGCCGCCACCGCCGCGAGAGCGGCGCUCCGCCCGGCGCCCCUCGCCGGCCGUGGCCUCGGCUCCUCCCUGCCGUCUUCCUCCCCCGCACGGGCCGCCCGCCUCCUCCGCAGGUCGGCCGUGGCGGGGCUGGAGACGCUGCUGCCCCUGCACACCGCGGUCGCGUCGGCGCGCCUCAAGUCCUGCAUCGCCGUCGACUCCACCUGCUGGUGCUCCCUCUCCCAAGGCCACACCUUAGGCAAGCCACACUAG